UGAGAGAUGGUUCAAUGGUUAGGACUGCUACCCCCAGAAUGUCCCACAACCUUAUAUAACUCCCAGUCCCAGGGCAUCUGAUGCCCUCUUUGGACCUCCUCAGGCCCCGGGUACACAUGUGGAGCAUAUACAGACAUGCAAGCAAAACACUCAUUCAUACAUACAAAGUAAAAAUAAAUUUUAAAAAAAUGUGAACGUCUUAAAUGGAAAGUCCCAGAAAAGAUCUGAUGGUGCAGGCUCACCUUCACAGGUUGUCUUACUAAAGGGUGGCUGUGUUCAGAAAGGCCCUGUGGGGACCAGGAGCUGCAGAGCAGUGCCUUCUAGCCUUAUUGUAAAUUGGGCUCCAUCAUAAAUGGAAAUGACAGGUUGCUUCUUCUCCUAGUCCCAGUCCAAGGCCUGUUUAACUAAAGCUCUGGUGAUUCUCUGGGGCAGCACACUGAAGAACCAAACCCCAGGCCCAAACGAGCUCAGGUAGCUGUGUCAGCAAACCGAGGCAGAGGAGCUCACCGGCUGUGUACUGUGUCCCAACAACCUCCCACAGUGUGGCAUGUAACUGCCACAGCCAUCUGCCGAAUCUGCAGAACCAGGGCAGCUUCCUCAUUGUCUACAUCUGUCACAAGAGUCCUUUCCUUCCUAGACACAAGGGAUCCAGAAAGCUGUUGGAGCCAUGUCUAACACCAACCAUCUCUCCCAUGGUGGUGCCUUCAGAACCCAGAGAAGAACUUUUUGUCUUGUUACUUUCUCAAUCUGUUACUGUCACUGUUAAUAUCAGCGGCUGUCACCAGGUCCGUAGUGUUGGGAGCCCUUAGAAAGGAAGUGCCCAGGACUGAGCUACCGAGCAGCCAGGAAUCCUGCCACUUCCUGUUGUUGUGUGGCCUUGGGCAAGUCACUUAGCCUCUGAUCCACGUCUGCUUAAUUUGCAUAUGAGCAUAAUUGUUCUCAGGACAUCAGAUGUCUCAGUCAGUCCUGGCUGUGACUGACACACGUGCCAGUCACGGGACACACCACAUUCAGAUAGAAACACUGCCACUCUCAGGACACAGGUGGUUUGCUCCCAGAGCCCCAGAGGCCAUGGGCAGUAUGGCUAGUGUCAGAGUCAGGACCCGAGCUCUGUAACCACACUGGAAACUCCAGCUGAGGAUGGUAACUUACAACUCACAUCCAGCAGCCUGACUUUUACGUUUUUGAGGGGGUUUCUGUCAUUUUUUUUUUGUCAUCUCUUUUUUUUUUUUUUUUUUUUGAGUAAUGAGCACCUUUGUCUUCUGGUAAUUGUGGGCACUGCUAAUGCAGAGGAAAUCAAAGAUUAGGGUCAGGUGACAGUGCACAUUGUUACCUGCCUAGUGAGUUUCAUAUUCUCAUUUUCCUUCCUGCCGUCACAUGAGCAGGUGUGUUAAGAAGCCAUUAUUUUCAUACACACUAUACUGUGUUCCUAAGAACACAGUGUCCUAAUAAACACAGUGUUCCUAAGAACAGCAUUGAGACCCAAGCAAUAUGGGAUUCUUUAUAGGGUUCUCACAAGCACCCAACAACCUACUAAGUAAUGGUAGCUCCACCCAAGUCAACUCCAGUAGGCACUCUGAUGCUGGUCAGCAACCUGUGGACAUUGGCAGUGGCUCCCAGAGCCAUGUAUGCGCGUGCUGUCCUGUUGGGAACAUCUUCCCAAGUACUGGGUGAGGAUGGGCUCAGACGUUCCCUGAGUGGUUUGUACUAUUU
This 1713-nucleotide long non-coding RNA is filed under the name Mus musculus (house mouse). RNAcentral describes it as "long non-coding RNA chr17:5302603-5304316". The record is from RNAcentral. Lineage: Eukaryota; Metazoa; Chordata; Mammalia; Rodentia; Muridae.